UAGAUAGAGGCGCGGGAUUCAUCAGUACCCUCCGGCAAGGCCAGGCAGCCGCCGGCGGAGAAAGGGGACACCGCCGAAGUACCGGGGCGCUGCCUGGCUGCCCGGCGCUGGGUCGGCAGAGAACAUCUGCCGGACUGUCACAGAGUUUUUUGUGAAGCGCUAUCA
This 165-nucleotide non-coding RNA is filed under the name uncultured Dysosmobacter sp. Its description in RNAcentral is "Lysine riboswitch". It matches the Rfam family "Lysine riboswitch aptamer". Rfam says of the family: Riboswitches are metabolite binding domains within certain messenger RNAs that serve as precision sensors for their corresponding targets. Allosteric rearrangement of mRNA structure is mediated by ligand binding, and this results in modulation of gene expression. This family includes riboswitches that sense lysine in a number of genes involved in lysine metabolism, including lysC. Lineage: Bacteria; Bacillati; Bacillota; Clostridia; Eubacteriales; Oscillospiraceae. The record is from RNAcentral.